GUUACCAGAACCAGAAUUUCACCUCUUUGCUCAUCUCCUCCCUGUCAGGAAAUCCUUGUCUUGAAGGAAGGAGCUGGUGCUACAGAAACAGAGGUGACCCUAGGAGGGGCUGCUGGGACACGCUGCAUGCUGCACCAGAGACAGAGGCUGCUCCCUGGAAUAACGGAGGAGGAAGAUGCAGUGAAUUGAAAAGAACCUCAGCUGGCAACCUUUUGGAAGAGUCUGCAGAUAUCUUACAUGGCACCAGAGGACUGGUGCCAAACAGGUGCUCUCUGGAGCUCAUUAUGUCCACCUGCCCAUCAGUGCAUAAACUGAUAAGACAAGUCUUCAGAUGCUUCGUAGUCCUGGUGACUUGGAUGCCACAUCCUCUGUUGGACCAUUUCUGGUGAUGCAUCACUGUUGAAGGGAAGAAGAUGGUCUUAUUGUAUCCCAUGUCCUGUUGCUACCAUUCUUUACAAAGCCCCCUCUCUGAGCACAGGAGACUGGUCUCCACCAUCAGUGUGAGCAAGGAUUGUGGUGUCCUCUGACAGCAGGAAGGCAAAGGGGAACACAAAAACCCCAACACAUGAGCACUGUCAUUAUUGUCUUCACUUGCUGAAUUCCCUCACUCAUUGUACCAGGACGGGGACCAGCUACUUCUUUCAGCAACAAAAUUAACAGCAAACAGCAAGCUGGCUUCUCAGUGAUGUGCGUGGACAGCCGGCUCACUUCCAUGUUGUUCUUGUGCUUGAGGGCAAUGUGCCUCAGGUUUGGAGGUCCCAGAUCCCAGCAGAGGGAUGUGGACAACCAGCAAGCUUCGGCACUGCUGGGGCAGUGUGUGGGGGCUGGCUGCAGGGUGCAGGUACAAGGAAUAAACUCCCCAAGGCAUCAGG
This is a long non-coding RNA of Strigops habroptila (Kakapo), 872 nucleotides long. RefSeq lists it as uncharacterized. NCBI's taxonomy places the organism in Eukaryota, Metazoa, Chordata, Aves, Psittaciformes, Psittacidae. The record is from RefSeq and is a predicted model, not a curated record. The transcript has 5 exons.